RNAcentral lists this ribosomal RNA (254 nucleotides) under uncultured bacterium. RNAcentral describes it as "partial 16S ribosomal RNA". It matches the Rfam family "Bacterial small subunit ribosomal RNA", at positions 524 to 776 of the family's 1533-position model. The record is from RNAcentral.
UACAGAGGGUGCGAGCGUUAAUCGGAAUUACUGGGCGUAAAGCGUGCGUAGGUGGUUUUGUGCGUCUGUUGUUAAAUUCCGGAGCUUAACUUCGGAGCUGCAAUGGAAACGGCAAAACUAGAGAGUGCUAGAGGUAACUGGAACAUAUGGUGUAGGGGUGAAAUCCGUUGAUAUCAUAUGGAACACCAAAGGCGAAGGCAUGUUACUGGAGCAUUUCUGACACUCAGUGCGCGAAAGCGUGGGGAGCAAAAAGG